RNAcentral lists this unclassified non-coding RNA (542 nucleotides) under Bactrocera tryoni. RNAcentral describes it as "protein ORD, transcript variant X2". Lineage: Eukaryota; Metazoa; Arthropoda; Insecta; Diptera; Tephritidae. The record is from RNAcentral.
UGUGAUUUGACACUUCGCGCGUUAAUUUUUUUUAAGAGCGCGUAUUUCUAUUUCUUCUUAUCUAAAACGGUAAUUUAUAUUUGUAAAUCAUUUAAAAAUUAGCAAAAUGGAAAGUAAUACCUGUGUUAUAAAUUGGUACAAUAAAUAACCUAUAAAAUGUGUGAAAUUGCAACGCCAAAUGGAGCUAUUUCGGAAGUUAAAUUUCUUUGGGUAAAGACACUAAUUCAACAGGCAUUCAAAUCUUGCUAUGUACUUCUACAAAUUUUUAAUAUUUGUAGGAACUGGAAUGGAUCUCAGAACAAUUGCAGAAACUUACUGAUCAUCGAGUGUCCUUUGCGGUGCACAAACUGCAGAAUAUGUACAUUAAUAGCUAGACCUAGAGCCAAAUGACGUACAACGCAAAAACGAAAAUUUUUGGGAGGAUAAAUGUUCACCUUAUCCUAAAAUUACUAAAAUACUGCACUUCACAAUAUAAUUUUCAUCAUCAGAAAGCUACUAAUAUAUGCAAAUAAAUUGUAUAUUUUGUAAAUAUAGUUAUUAUU